UACGUAGGGUGCAAGCGUUAAUCGGAAUUACUGGGCGUAAAGCGUGCGCAGGCGGUUAUGUAAGACAGAUGUGAAAUGCCCGGGCUUAACCUGGGAACUGCAUUUGUGACUGCAUGGCUAGAGUUUGGCAGAGGGGGGUAGAAUUCCACGUGUAGCAGUGAAAUGCGUAGAUAUGUGGAGGAACACCGAUGGCGAAGGCAGCCCCCUGGGUCAAGAUUGACGCUCAUGCACGAAAGCGUGGGGAGCAAACAGG
RNAcentral lists this ribosomal RNA (253 nucleotides) under uncultured bacterium. RNAcentral describes it as "partial 16S ribosomal RNA". It matches the Rfam family "Bacterial small subunit ribosomal RNA", at positions 524 to 776 of the family's 1533-position model. The record is from RNAcentral.